Small nuclear RNA from Mastomys coucha (southern multimammate mouse), 102 nucleotides. Lineage: Eukaryota; Metazoa; Chordata; Mammalia; Rodentia; Muridae. The record is from RefSeq and is a predicted model, not a curated record.
UCACUUUAGUAGCAAAUAUACUGAGUUUGGAACUAUACAGACAAAAUUAGCAUAACCUCUGGACAAAAUGCAAUAGAAAUUAAUAAAGCAUUCCAUAUUUUA